This 349-nucleotide unclassified non-coding RNA is filed under the name soil metagenome. Its description in RNAcentral is "partial contains 5.8S ribosomal RNA, internal transcribed spacer 2, and large subunit ribosomal RNA". The stretch from base 1 to 120 matches the Rfam family "5.8S ribosomal RNA", at positions 35 to 154 of the family's 154-position model. The record is from RNAcentral.
GAUGAAGAACGUAGCGAAAUGCGAUAAGUAAUGUGAAUUGCAGAAUUCAGUGAAUCAUCGAAUCUUUGAACGCACAUUGCGCCCGCCAGUAUUCUGGCGGGCAUGCCUGUCCGAGCGUCAUUUCAACCCUCGAACCCCUCCGGGGGGUCGGCGUUGGGGAUCGGCCCUUUACGGGGCCGGCCCCGAAAUACAGUGGCGGUCUCGCCGCAGCCUCUCCUGCGCAGUAGUUUGCACACUCGCAUCGGGAGCGCGGCGCGUCCAAUGCCGUAAAACACCCAACUUUCUGAAAUGUUGACCUCGGAUCAGGUAGGAAUACCCGCUGAACUUAAGCGUAUCAAUAAGCGGAGGA